Molecule: ribosomal RNA, 468 nt
Filed under: uncultured bacterium
Lineage: Bacteria
Description: partial 16S ribosomal RNA
Rfam family: Bacterial small subunit ribosomal RNA
Source: RNAcentral
GACGAACGCUGGCGGCGUGCUUAACACAUGCAAGUCGAACGGAAAGGCCCUGCUUUUGUGGGGUGCUCGAGUGGCGAACGGGUGAGUAACACGUGAGUAACCUGCCCUUGACUUUGGGAUAACUUGAGGAAACUGGGGCUAAUACCGGAUAGGAGCUCCUGCUGCAUGGUGGGGGUUAGAAAGUUUCGGCGGUUGGGGAUGGACUCGCGGCUUAUCAGCUUGUUGGUGGGGUAGUGGCUUACCAAGGCUUUGACGGGUAGCCGGCCUGAGAGGGUGACCGGCCACAUUGGGACUGAGAUACGGCCCAGACUCCUACGGGAGGCAGCAGUGGGGAAUAUUGCACAAUGGGCGGAAGCCUGAUGCAGCAACGCCGCGUGCGGGAUGACGGCCUUCGGGUUGUAAACCGCUUUCGCCUGUGACGAAGCGUGAGUGACGGUAAUGGGUAAAGAAGCACCGGCUAACUACGUG